This 1524-nucleotide ribosomal RNA is filed under the name metagenome. RNAcentral describes it as "bacterial LSU rRNA". It matches the Rfam family "Bacterial large subunit ribosomal RNA", at positions 1300 to 2809 of the family's 2925-position model. The record is from RNAcentral.
ACAUGAGUAACGACAAUGGGUGUGAAAAACACCCACGCCGAAAGACCAAGGGUUCCUGCGCAACGUUAAUCGACGCAGGGUUAGUCGGUUCCUAAGGCGAGGCUGAAAAGCGUGGUCGAUGGGAAACAGGUUAAUAUUCCUGUACUUCUGGUUACUGCGAUGGAGGGACGGAGAAGGCUAGGCCAGCUUGGCGUUGGUUGUCCAAGUUUAAGGUGGUAGGCUGAAAUCUUAGGUAAAUCCGGGGUUUCAAGGCCGAGAGCUGAUGACGAGUCGUCUUUUAGAUGACGAAGUGGUUGAUGCCAUGCUUCCAAGAAAAGCUUCUAAGCUUCAGGUAACCAGGGACCGUACCCCAAACCGACACAGGUGGUCGGGUAGAGAAUACCAAGGCGCUUGAGAGAACUCGGGUGAAGGAACUAGGCAAAAUGGCACCGUAACUUCGGGAGAAGGUGCGCCGGCUAGGGUGAAGGAUUUACUCCGUAAGCUCUGGCUGGUCGAAGAUACCAGGCCGCUGCGACUGUUUAUUAAAAACACAGCACUCUGCAAACACGAAAGUGGACGUAUAGGGUGUGACGCCUCCCCGGUGCCGGAAGGUUAAUUGAUGGGGUUAGCGCAAGCGAAGCUCUUGAUCGAAGCCCCGGUAAACGGCGGCCGUAACUAUAACGGUCCUAAGGUAGCGAAAUUCCUUGUCGGGUAAGUUCCGACCUGCACGAAUGGCGUAACGAUGGCGGCGCUGUCUCCACCCGAGACUCAGUGAAAUUGAAAUCGCUGUGAAGAUGCAGUGUAUCCGCGGCUAGACGGAAAGACCCCGUGAACCUUUACUGUAGCUUUGCACUGGACUUUGAGCCUGCUUGUGUAGGAUAGGUGGGAGGCUUUGAAGCGUGGACGCCAGUUCGCGUGGAGCCAUCCUUGAAAUACCACCCUGGCAUGCUUGAGGUUCUAACUCUGGUCCGUAAUCCGGAUCGAGGACAGUGUAUGGUGGGCAGUUUGACUGGGGCGGUCUCCUCCUAAAGAGUAACGGAGGAGUACGAAGGGGCGCUCAGACCGGUCGGAAAUCGGUCGCAGAGUAUAAAGGCAAAAGCGCGCUUGACUGCGAGACAGACACGUCGAGCAGGUACGAAAGUAGGUCUUAGUGAUCCGGUGGUUCUGUAUGGAAGGGCCAUCGCUCAACGGAUAAAAGGUACUCCGGGGAUAACAGGCUGAUACCGCCCAAGAGUUCAUAUCGACGGCGGUGUUUGGCACCUCGAUGUCGGCUCAUCACAUCCUGGGGCUGAAGCCGGUCCCAAGGGUAUGGCUGUUCGCCAUUUAAAGUGGUACGCGAGCUGGGUUUAGAACGUCGUGAGACAGUUCGGUCCCUAUCUGCCGUGGACGUUUGAGAUUUGAGAGGGGCUGCUCCUAGUACGAGAGGACCGGAGUGGACGAACCUCUGGUGUUCCGGUUGUCACGCCAGUGGCAUUGCCGGGUAGCUAUGUUCGGAAAAGAUAACCGCUGAAAGCAUCUAAGCGGGAAACUUGCCUCAAGAUGAGA